Molecule: ribosomal RNA, 799 nt
Filed under: uncultured Staphylococcus sp.
Lineage: Bacteria; Bacillati; Bacillota; Bacilli; Caryophanales; Staphylococcaceae
Description: bacterial SSU rRNA
Rfam family: Bacterial small subunit ribosomal RNA
Source: RNAcentral
CGUUAGCGGCGGACGGGUGAGUAACACGUGGGUAACCUACCUAUAAGACUGGGACAACUUCGGGAAACCGGAGCUAAUACCGGAUAAUAUGUUGAACCGCAUGGUUCAAUAGUGAAAGAUGGUUUUGCUAUCACUUAUAGAUGGACCCGCGCCGUAUUAGCUAGUUGGUGAGGUAACGGCUCACCAAGGCAACGAUACGUAGCCGACCUGAGAGGGUGAUCGGCCACACUGGAACUGAGACACGGUCCAGACUCCUACGGGAGGCAGCAGUAGGGAAUCUUCCGCAAUGGGCGAAAGCCUGACGGAGCAACGCCGCGUGAGUGAUGAAGGUCUUAGGAUCGUAAAACUCUGUUAUUAGGGAAGAACAAACGUGUAAGUAACUGUGCACGUCUUGACGGUACCUAAUCAGAAAGCCACGGCUAACUACGUGCCAGCAGCCGCGGUAAUACGUAGGUGGCAAGCGUUAUCCGGAAUUAUUGGGCGUAAAGCGCGCGUAGGCGGUUUUUUAAGUCUGAUGUGAAAGCCCACGGCUCAACCGUGGAGGGUCAUUGGAAACUGGAAAACUUGAGUGCAGAAGAGGAAAGUGGAAUUCCAUGUGUAGCGGUGAAAUGCGCAGAGAUAUGGAGGAACACCAGUGGCGAAGGCGACUUUCUGGUCUGUAACUGACGCUGAUGUGCGAAAGCGUGGGGAUCAAACAGGAUUAGAUACCCUGGUAGUCCACGCCGUAAACGAUGAGUGCUAAGUGUUAGGGGGUUUCCGCCCCUUAGUGCUGCAGCUAACGCAUUAAGCACUCCGCCUG